AACGAACGCUGGCGGCAUGCCUAACACAUGCAAGUCGAACGAGACCUUCGGGCCUAGUGGCGCACGGGUGCGUAACGCGUGGGAACCUGCCCUUAGGAUCGGAAUAACUCCUCGAAAGGGGUGCUAAUACCGGAUAAUGUCUUCGGACCAAAGAUUUAUCGCCUUUGGAUGGGGCCGCGUUGGUUUAGCUUGUUGGUAGGGUAAAAGCCUACCAAGGCGAGGAUCCGUAGCUGGUCUGAGAGGCUGAUCAGCCACACUGGGACUGAGACACGGCCCAGACUCCUACGGGAGGCAGCAGUGGGGAAUAUUGGACAAUGGGCGAGAGGCAGAUCCAGCAAUGCCGGGAGAGUGAUGAAGGCGUUAGAGUUGUAAAGCUCUUUUAACCGGGAUGAUAAUGACAGUACCGAGAGAAUAAGCACCGGCUAACUCCGUG
Molecule: ribosomal RNA, 433 nt
Filed under: uncultured bacterium
Lineage: Bacteria
Description: partial 16S ribosomal RNA
Rfam family: Bacterial small subunit ribosomal RNA
Source: RNAcentral